RNAcentral lists this ribosomal RNA (253 nucleotides) under uncultured bacterium. RNAcentral describes it as "partial 16S ribosomal RNA". It matches the Rfam family "Bacterial small subunit ribosomal RNA", at positions 524 to 776 of the family's 1533-position model. The record is from RNAcentral.
UACGGGGGGUGCAAGCGUUGUUCGGAAUUACUGGGCGUAAAGGGCUCGUAGGCGGCCUACUAAGUCAGACGUGAAAUCCCUCAGCUUAACUGGGGAACUGCGUCUGAUACUGGAUGGCUUGAGUUUGGGAGAGGGAUGCGGAAUUCCAGGUGUAGCGGUGAAAUGCGUAGAUAUCUGGAGGAACACCGGUGGCGAAGGCGGCAUCCUGGACCAACACUGACGCUGAGGAGCGAAAGCCAGGGGAGCAAACGGG